Molecule: ribosomal RNA, 319 nt
Filed under: uncultured Bacillota bacterium
Lineage: Bacteria; Bacillati; Bacillota
Description: bacterial SSU rRNA
Rfam family: Bacterial small subunit ribosomal RNA
Source: RNAcentral
AAGUGCGGGGCUUAACCCCGUGAGGGGACCGAAACUGCGAUGCUAGAGUAUCGGAGAGGAAAGCGGAAUUCCUAGUGUAGCGGUGAAAUGCGUAGAUAUUAGGAGGAACACCAGUGGCGAAAGCGGCUUUCUGGACGACAACUGACGCUGAGGCGCGAAAGCCAGGGGAGCAAACGGGAUUAGAUACCCCGGUAGUCCUGGCCGUAAACGAUGGAUACUAGGUGUAGGAGGUAUCGACCCCUUCUGUGCCGGAGUUAACGCAAUAAGUAUCCCGCCUGGGGAGUACGGCCGCAAGGCUGCAACUCAAAUGAAUUGACGG